This 330-nucleotide long non-coding RNA is filed under the name Malus domestica (apple). Its description in RNAcentral is "long non-coding RNA (MDOM_LNC012375)". The record is from RNAcentral. Lineage: Eukaryota; Viridiplantae; Streptophyta; Magnoliopsida; Rosales; Rosaceae.
CCCAACAUUCUGUGCCAUACAACAUCGCUGGCCUUAUUGCCGUCCUAUAAAAUUUUCCCUUGAGCUUCAGUGGCCUACGACGGUCACACAACACGUUGGAUGCACUCUUACACUUCAUCCAUCCAGCUUGUAUUCUAUGGUUGAUAUCUCCAUCUAAUUCUCCGUUCUCUUGCAAGAUAGAUCCUAGGUAGCGAAAACGGUCACUUUUUGUGAUCUUCGCUAAAUUGCUCCGGUCAUUAGUGUGGAUAAGUAUAUAAAUGGAUAGAGAUAGGAGAGCAAAUACAAGAUGUACGUGGUUCACCCAGAUUGGCUACGUCCACGGAAUAGAGG